Psammomys obesus (fat sand rat) is the source of this 1505-nucleotide long non-coding RNA. RefSeq lists it as uncharacterized. NCBI's taxonomy places the organism in Eukaryota, Metazoa, Chordata, Mammalia, Rodentia, Muridae. The transcript has 3 exons. The record is from RefSeq and is a predicted model, not a curated record.
UAGAACUGCAGGGUCACGCCUGGGUUUCCUUCUCCGGCAUGUUACACGACGCCUACGCCCAACGUGUGUUAGCCCCGUUCCGACACAAACGUGUAAAGAACACACCCACUUGCAGGAUGUACUGGUCAGGACGUGUGAGCGGUCAGACGGGGACAAAGGUCAGAAACUCGGCUGCCUGGCGUGGUCUCAGCUUUUCUCAGAAUGAAGUCGGGCGAAGGCUUCCCUGCGCGCUUACAGUUGGCGCCGUUAGUCAGGUGUGGGAGGUGAACGCACCAGAAGCCCAACUUCUGCGUAACGAGGAGUCGCCCCCAGGGCCGUGGGUGCUCCCUCUAGACGUUGCACCCAGAGCGCCUUUACCCGCAGCCAAACAGUGAACCCCACGCCUUCCCGGGGUGCAGAUGCUGGGCCCUGCUCUCGGCCGGGCCCCUCGCGGUUCUGGAUACAAUCGCGCACAAUGCCCACCUUUCCUCCAACUUGGCACAUGAAGUAAUUUUGAGAAUUGUUUAACUGGCACCCAGUUUUCUGAUGUACAAAUAGGAAAUAUUGGGAAGUCAGAUGGACAUUCUGCACUGCUGAGACAAAAGCAGAGAACAGAAAUCCCACAUGCAUUCCUGUCUGGCAGAAUCAGGAGUCAGUGGAAGAUGGGCCUCUGCCAUUCAUGUGGAGUGUCUGGAUGAUACGUGUUGGUGUGCGAUGCAUUUUAACUGUGGGUACAAGCAUUCUCUGAUCGGGAGCUUCUGGGCUGUGUAGAAUGGAGAAAGUGAAAUGAGCAAUUGCAAGCUAGCACCCACCCCUCUUUCCUCGCUGUGGACCUGAUGUGACCAGCGCCUUCAAGCUCCUGCUGCCUGGACUUCCUUCCAUGAUGAACUGUAUACCUUGAACUAUGAGUUAAAAUUACUCCUUAAUUUGCUUUUGUCAGAGUAUUUUAUCACAGCAAUAAGAAACUGAGAAGUCUUACAAAAGAAAAGCAUAUUGUGACCCACCCAUUUCUAAAUAUUUAUACAGGAGAAAUUAAGACAUAAGUCCGAAGUCCGAAGCCUUGUAUAACAAGGGGAAAGACUGACAUAUUGAUAAAAUGACAAACAACACAAUAUUGAUGCAGUGGAAUUCUGUUCAGCAAUAAGAAGAAACACAUUGCUGAUGUGUUGGAAGCCUUUCACAGGUGUGGUGCACAAAAGAAGGCAACUGAAAGAGGUUUUCACUGAGUCUAUCCACAAAAAUCUGUGACCACUCAGCAAUGAGGAGAAGGUGCAUGCUCACCACUGAGCCUGAUGGCCUGCACUCUUUCUCCGGGACCUACGUGGUGGGAGGAGACACCAACUUCUGACUCUCCCACAUGACCAUGCACUCCCCUCUUCCCACAAUCAUAAAUAAAUAAAUGCAAUUAAUAACUGUUUAAGCUAAUUAGGCUAAAAUCCAUUAAUAAGCAAAGCUGACCUCAUAGUGAUGGGAAAAUGAUAUACCAGUGGAGUGAAGGAGAUAUGGUGUAUGGAAUACAGAGUGUU